This 149-nucleotide ribosomal RNA is filed under the name Silene viscidula. RNAcentral describes it as "5.8S ribosomal RNA". It matches the Rfam family "5.8S ribosomal RNA". Rfam says of the family: 5.8S ribosomal RNA (5.8S rRNA) is a component of the large subunit of the eukaryotic ribosome. It is transcribed by RNA polymerase I as part of the 45S precursor that also contains 18S and 28S rRNA. The record is from RNAcentral. Lineage: Eukaryota; Viridiplantae; Streptophyta; Magnoliopsida; Caryophyllales; Caryophyllaceae.
AAUAAACGACUCUCGGCAACGGAUAUCUCGGCUCUCGCAUCGAUGAAGAACGUAGCGAAAUGCGAUACUUGGUGUGAAUUGCAGAAUCCCGUGAACCAUCGAGUUUUUGAACGCAAGUUGCGCCCGAAGCUUCGGCUAAGGGCACGUCU